RNAcentral lists this unclassified non-coding RNA (572 nucleotides) under Leishmania donovani. RNAcentral describes it as "gene:unknown". Lineage: Eukaryota; Euglenozoa; Kinetoplastea; Trypanosomatida; Trypanosomatidae. The record is from RNAcentral.
AUCGAUGGGGCGCACAAUAAUCAAGUUUGGAGGACAGCCUGGGGCUGACGCAAAGGAGCGCUCUCCUACCAGAUGCGUGGAGGAACCCGUAAGCACAGAGAGUGCUUUGAGCAGCGUCACUGGUGAGGGUGCAUGCAUAGUUGACAGUACGCUGUUGCGGAAGUAUUUGGCCCGGAAUUAUCUAAACGCCAACGCAGAAGGGGAAAGUACCCUAGGCGUGCUCGUCGCUGAAGCCGCUAGUGAGUCUCCAGAUCUCAACAGUAAGAGUAUUAUCUACGAGGACUGGAAUUCGUGACAUACUGUUUUUAUAGUUACCCCUCGGCGCUGAUUGCAAGAAAAGUGAUAGAUGCAAGCUGAUGCAUGUCUCCUCGCACAAUAGAGAUGAAUGUGUAUGGACGCUCGUUGACAAAAGCAGCAGCGACAGUAGGGCCUUGCAGCAGUCCUUUAUGGCGAGAGUACGCGCUCGGCUGAACUCGUGUGCUUUUAUGACUGUGCAACACCGUCGAAUCCCACUUUCUACCAUAUCGUAUUUUGAUUCUGUUCCCACACGCCUAAAACUUCAAAUUGCAAAG